RNAcentral lists this ribosomal RNA (320 nucleotides) under uncultured eukaryote. RNAcentral's name for it is "partial 18S ribosomal RNA". It matches the Rfam family "Eukaryotic small subunit ribosomal RNA", at positions 1470 to 1796 of the family's 1831-position model. The record is from RNAcentral.
CCCCUAGAUGUUCUGGGCCGCACGCGCGCUACACUGAACAGUUCAACAAGUCUUAACCUUGGCCGAUAGGUCGGGGUAAUCUUUGAACGCUGUUCGUGAUUGGGAUAGACCUUUGCAAUUAUGGGUCUUCAACGAGGAAUUCCUAGUAAACGCAAGUCAUCAGCUUGCAUUGAUUACGUCCCUGCCCUUUGUACACACCGCCCGUCGCACCUACCGAUUGAAUGGUCCGGUGAAAUCUCGGGACGGCGGCUUGGUCGCUUGCGUCCGACUGCUGAAACUUGAUUAAACCAUAUCAUUUAGAGGAAGGUGAAGUCGUANCA